GAAAAUUUGUGAUUUUUUUUUUUUAAUCCAUGAUCGAAUUUUUUUUUGUAAUCCAUGAUAGAAUUUUUUUAAAAUUUGUGAUUUUUUUUUUAAUCCAUGAUCGAUUUUUUUGAAAAUUUGUUUUUUUUUUUUUAAUCCAUAUUAUUCAAAGGGAAAACGAGAGAGAUGAUGAUUCUGAGGCCACCCUAUCCCAACCAUAUUAUUCACAUAUCGAGUCCCAACAGCAACAGUGUAUGGAUGAGCACGAAAUACUGUAAAUUAAAUGCUGAAUGGUGGUUCAUGC
This 283-nucleotide long non-coding RNA is filed under the name Amborella trichopoda. RNAcentral describes it as "long non-coding RNA (ATRI_LNC002078)". The record is from RNAcentral. Lineage: Eukaryota; Viridiplantae; Streptophyta; Magnoliopsida; Amborellales; Amborellaceae.